UUAACGCGAAGAACCUUACCAGGUCUUGACAUCCUCUGAAAACCCUAGAGAUAGGGCUUCUCCUUCGGGAGCAGAGUGACAGGUGGUGCAUGGUUGUCGUCAGCUCACUAGUCGUGAGAUGUUGGGUUAAGUCCCGCAACGAGCGCAACCCUAUAAACGUUAGUUGCCAUCAUUAAGUUGGGCACUCUAAGGUGACUGCAGGUGACAAACCGGAGGAAGGUGGGCAUGACGUCCGAAAAAUCAUCAUGCCCCUUAUGACCUGGGCUACACACGUGCUACAAUGGACGGUACAAAGAGCUGCAAGACCGCGAGGUGGAGCUAAUCUCAUAAAACCGUUCUCAGUUCGGAUUGUAGGCUGCAACUCGCCUACAUGAAGCUGGAAUCGCUAGUAAUCGCGGAUCAGCAUGACGCGGUGAAUACGUUCCCGGGCCUUGUACACACCGCCCGUCACAACACGAGAGUUUGUAACACCCGAAGUCGGUGGGGUAACCUUUAUGGAGCCAGCCGCCUAAGGUGGGACAGAUGAUUGGGGUGAAGUCGUAACAAGGGUAGCCGU
RNAcentral lists this ribosomal RNA (556 nucleotides) under Bacillus sp. (in: firmicutes). Its description in RNAcentral is "bacterial SSU rRNA". It matches the Rfam family "Bacterial small subunit ribosomal RNA", at positions 956 to 1503 of the family's 1533-position model. Lineage: Bacteria; Bacillati; Bacillota; Bacilli; Caryophanales; Bacillaceae. The record is from RNAcentral.